UGGGGAAUAUUGGACAAUGGGGGCAACCCUGAUCCAGCAAUGCCGCGUGGGUGAUGAAGGCCUUCGGGUUGUAAAGCCCUUUUGGCGGGGACGAUGAUGACGGUACCCGCCGAAUAAGCUCCGGCUAACUUCGUGCCAGCAGCCGCGGUAAUACGAAGGGAGCUAGCGUUGUUCGGAAUUACUGGGCGUAAAGGGCGCGUAGGCGGUUUCGAUAGUCGGGCGUGAAAUCCCCAGGCUCAACUUGGGAAUUGCGUUCGAUACUGCGAGACUUGAGUGAGGGAGAGGAUAGUGGAAUUCCCAGUGUAGAGGUGAAAUUCGUAGAUAUUGGGAAGAACACCAGUGGCGAAGGCGGCUAUCUGGACCUCAACUGACGCUGAGGCGCGAAAGCGUGGGGAGCAAA
Molecule: ribosomal RNA, 400 nt
Filed under: uncultured bacterium
Lineage: Bacteria
Description: bacterial SSU rRNA
Rfam family: Bacterial small subunit ribosomal RNA
Source: RNAcentral